GACGAACGCUGGCGGCGUGCCUAAUACAUGCAAGUUGAGCGCUGAAGGUUGGUACUUGUACCAACUGGAUGAGCAGCGAACGGGUGAGUAACGCGUGGGGAAUCUGCCUUUGAGCGGGGGACAACAUUUGGAAACGAAUGCUAAUACCGCAUAAUAACUUUAAACACAAGUUUUAAGUUUGAAAGAUGCAAUUGCAUCACUCAAUGAUUAUCCCCCGGUGUAUUAGCUAGUUUGUGAGGUAAAGGCCCAACAAGGCGAAGAUACAUAGCCGAACUGAGAGGGUGGUCCGGCAAAUUGGGAACUGAGACAGGCCCAAAAUCCCAACGGGGGGAGCAGUAAGGGAACCUUGGCAAUUGAGGAAAGUCUGGCCGAGCAAAGGCGCGUGAGUGGAGAAGGGUUUCGGAUCGUAAAAACUCGUUGGUAGAGAAGAACGAUGGUGGGAGUGGAAAGCUCAUGAAGUGACGGUAACUACCCAGAAAGCGACGGCUAACUACGUG
This 497-nucleotide ribosomal RNA is filed under the name uncultured bacterium. RNAcentral describes it as "partial 16S ribosomal RNA". It matches the Rfam family "Bacterial small subunit ribosomal RNA", at positions 28 to 507 of the family's 1533-position model. The record is from RNAcentral.